RNAcentral lists this ribosomal RNA (127 nucleotides) under Paenibacillus jilunlii. RNAcentral's name for it is "partial 23S ribosomal RNA". It matches the Rfam family "Bacterial large subunit ribosomal RNA", at positions 2793 to 2925 of the family's 2925-position model. The record is from RNAcentral. Lineage: Bacteria; Bacillati; Bacillota; Bacilli; Caryophanales; Paenibacillaceae.
CCCCCCUCAAGAUGAGAUUUCCCAGUAUGUAAGACCCCUUGAAGACGACGAGGUAGAUAGGUUGGAGGUGGAAGCACGGCAACGUGUGGAGCUGACCAAUACUAAUCGGUCGAGGGCUUAUCCAAAA